CCUACGGGCGGCUUCAGUGGGGAAUAUUGGACAAUGGGGGCAACCCUGAUCCAGCCAUGCCGCGUGUGUGAAGAAGGCCCUCGGGUUGUAAAGCACUUUCAGUGAGGAAGAACGCCUGGUGGUUAAUACCCAUCAGGAAAGACAUCACUCACAGAAGAAGCACCGGCUAACUCCGUGCCAGCAGCCGCGGUAAUACGGAGGGUGCGAGCGUUAAUCGGAAUUACUGGGCGUAAAGCGCGCGUAGGUGGCUUGAUAAGCCGGUUGUGAAAGCCCCGGGCUCAACCUGGGAACGGCAUCCGGAACUGUCAAGCUAGAGUGCAGGAGAGGAAGGUAGAAUUCCCGGUGUAGCGGUGAAAUGCGUAGAGAUCGGGAGGAAUACCAGUGGCGAAGGCGGCCUUCUGGACUGACACUGACACUGAGGUGCGAAAGCGUGGGUAGCAAACAGGAUUAGAUACCCUUGUAGUC
This 465-nucleotide ribosomal RNA is filed under the name Vreelandella stevensii. Its description in RNAcentral is "partial 16S ribosomal RNA". It matches the Rfam family "Bacterial small subunit ribosomal RNA", at positions 338 to 795 of the family's 1533-position model. Lineage: Bacteria; Pseudomonadati; Pseudomonadota; Gammaproteobacteria; Oceanospirillales; Halomonadaceae. The record is from RNAcentral.